This 431-nucleotide ribosomal RNA is filed under the name uncultured bacterium. Its description in RNAcentral is "partial 16S ribosomal RNA". It matches the Rfam family "Bacterial small subunit ribosomal RNA", at positions 29 to 505 of the family's 1533-position model. The record is from RNAcentral.
AACGAACGCUGGCGGCAUGCCUAACACAUGCAAGUCGAACGAGACCUUCGGGUCUAGUGGCGCACGGGUGCGUAACGCGUGGGAACCUGCCCUUAGGUUCGGAAUAACUCCCCGAAAGGGGUGCUAAUACCGGAUAAUGCCUUCGGACCAAAGAUUUAUCGCCUUUGGAUGGGCCCGCGUUGGAUUAGCUAGUUGGUAGGGUAAAAGCCUACCAAGGCGACGAUCCAUAGCUGGUCUGAGAGGAUGAUCAGCCACACUGGGACUGAGACACGGCCCAGACUCCUACGGGAGGCAGCAGUGGGGAAUAUUGGAGAAGGGGCGAAAGCCUGAGCCAGCAAUGCCGCGUGAGUGAUGAAGGCCUUAGGGUUGUAAAGCUCUUUUACCCGGGAUGAUAAUGACAGUCCCGGGAGAAUAAGCUCCGGCUAACUCCG